GUCCAAUUGACGAGCCCAAAACAGGACGAAACGCACGUCUUGGAU
This is a non-coding RNA of Schistosoma mattheei, 45 nucleotides long. The record is from Rfam. NCBI's taxonomy places the organism in Eukaryota, Metazoa, Platyhelminthes, Trematoda, Strigeidida, Schistosomatidae.